UACACUCCUGCGGGAGGCAGCAGUGGGGAAUAUUGCACAAUGGGCGCAAGCCUGAUGCAGCCAUGCCGCGUGUAUGAAGAAGGCCUUCGGGUUGUAAAGUACUUUCAGCGGGGAGGAAGGCGAUAAGGUUAAUAACCUUGUUGAUUGACGUUACCCGCAGAAGAAGCACCGGCUAACUCCGUGCCAGCAGCCGCGGUAAUACGGAGGGUGCAAGCGUUAAUCGGAAUUACUGGGCGUAAAGCGCACGCAGGCGGUCUGUCAAGUCGGAUGUGAAAUCCCCGGGCUCAACCUGGGAACUGCAUUGGAAACUGGCAGGCUAGAGUCUUGUAGAGGGGGGUAGAAUUCCAGGUGUAGCGGUGAAAUGCGUAGAGAUCUGGAGGAAUACCGGUGGCGAAGGCGGCCCCCUGGACAAAGACUGACGCUCAGGUGCGAAAGCGUGGGGAGCAAACAGGAUUAGAAACCCGUGUAGUCCCAUGA
RNAcentral lists this ribosomal RNA (477 nucleotides) under uncultured organism. RNAcentral's name for it is "partial 16S ribosomal RNA". It matches the Rfam family "Bacterial small subunit ribosomal RNA", at positions 332 to 800 of the family's 1533-position model. The record is from RNAcentral.